AUUCCCCAGGUGCAUGGCACAGCCUGAUACAUAAAGGGACACCCAGUGUGCAGCACAACCAGGUUUCCCUCCCUUUGCUGACCGAAGCAGCUGAAGCCACAGCAGCUGGCAGUGGGCAAGAAAUGGAACCGUUUCUCUUUUUCCUGUUUCCUCAUGUUUUCCUACAAGGCACAAACUUACAAAAGACCGUUUCUGAAAGUGGAGCAGACAGGAAAAGCACCCAAUUUUGACAUUUCACAACCUCUCUGUCAGGCCAGGAAUAAGCCCCAUUUACAGAGGCGGACAGAGGGCAGUCGGCGUCGCCGCCCAGCGAGGAGGGGGCAGCGGGCCGGGCCUCAGGCGUCUGCUCUCCCACCACUUCGGAAUAAGGAUGCGUUUGGCUGUGCACAGUCGGUGAGGGUGGAAGGAGCUGUUUCACAGCCUUGCAAACAAGACCAGCAUUGUCCAAAGUUCGCUGUUUCUGCCGCCAUUCCCUUGUUCCCCUCUGCCCUCAGAAGAUUUUUAAAGUGUUCAGGGCCAUGAUGUUGCCCAGUUUUGUUACCAACUUUCCUUUUUCUUGAUCCUUUGUUUCAAUGUCUGCCUUCUUUCCCCCAUGUGCUCACUGAGGCCUGAUUGUGGGGUCAAGCUGUAAUUAGUUUAUAUAUGAAGUUUAAUUCACUGUGGCUCUUUUGACGUUAGACUCAAAUGGGCUUUGAUGUCUGGCUGGAGCUUUGAUCCCAGACCCUCGAAUGGUGGUCAUCAUCCCAACUCAAAGGACUGCCCUUUAUUUUUUCCCUUCUAUUCGGAGACAGCUUUUCCCAAUUACAUCAUUUGUAUGUGUUUGGCCAUAAAAGCUGUAAGGCAUCGUUUUGUUGCUUUGCUCUAUAGCAAAACAUGCAAUUGAUGCUCUUCGCUUGGCUGCAAUAGAAUGUUCACUGCUGGAUAAGGCAUUUGUAGAAUGAUGCUCAGACUUUGGUGGGGGUGCUCUUGGGAGCUGUUCUGCUCAAGGGCGAAGCCUCAGACUGCAUGAUCUGAGGGGCCCUUCCUGGCUCUGUCCAGGAAUGUCUUUAAGCAUAAGCUACACAACUGUGACAUAUUCAGUCAAGACUCUCAUGCUGGCAACUGUAUCUUACUCUCCAG
RNAcentral lists this long non-coding RNA (1119 nucleotides) under Equus caballus (horse). RNAcentral describes it as "lncRNA (ENSECAG00000033513.3)". Lineage: Eukaryota; Metazoa; Chordata; Mammalia; Perissodactyla; Equidae. The record is from RNAcentral.